This is a long non-coding RNA of Xyrauchen texanus (razorback sucker), 459 nucleotides long. RefSeq lists it as uncharacterized. The transcript has 3 exons. Lineage: Eukaryota; Metazoa; Chordata; Actinopteri; Cypriniformes; Catostomidae. The record is from RefSeq and is a predicted model, not a curated record.
CCAUCAAAGAGGCAGCCUCAUACGGUUAUGCAACAUCAUUGAUGAAGGCCCUUCAGGAAAGCUACACCCAUUCACCUGCAGCUCUUCGAGAGACAAGUCCAAUGAUUUAGUUGUAAGUAUUUAUUUUAGUUGUUAUUUAUCUUCUUUCCUUCUGUCCCUGUCAUCUCAUUUGGUGGUGGUUUCCUGUAUUCUGCAUGUUUUGUGUGUUGUUGCUUUGGUUUUACUUUGCACUAAAUCAUUACUUUUUUUGUCUUUGUAAGUGGCAUUAAUUGUCGCUGUACCCCAUUCAAGGGUCCUGCAUGCUGCAUGUCUGCUCCUCUGUCUGUUAUUUGCAUGAAAUUUGUUUUAUGUAAUUCAAAAUAAUUUACCAAUCAUUUUACCUGUGCCUUGUCAACCUCUGUGUGCGGUGUUGUCUGGGUUCACUGUGUGUCAGCUUGAUAUGCUUUUGCAUGUAUCACU